RNAcentral lists this ribosomal RNA (274 nucleotides) under uncultured bacterium. Its description in RNAcentral is "partial 16S ribosomal RNA". It matches the Rfam family "Bacterial small subunit ribosomal RNA", at positions 523 to 796 of the family's 1533-position model. The record is from RNAcentral.
AUACGGAGGGUGCAAGCGUUACUCUGAAUCACUGGGCGUAAAGCGCGCGCAGGCGGCUAUUUAAGUUGGAUGUGAAAGCCUACGGCUCAACCGUAGAACUGCAUCCAAAACUAUUUAGCUAGAGUGUAGGAGAGGAAGAUGGAAUUAGUUGUGUAGGGGUAAAAUCCGUAGAGAUAACUAGGAAUACCAAAAGCGAAGGCAAUCUUCUGAAACACUACUGACGCUGAGGCGCGAAAGAGUGGGGAGAAAACAGGAUUAGAUACCCUAGUAGUCC